CUGAGUAAUCCUUUGGAUCCAUAGUCCUCAGGCAGACAAACUUUCAGAGCCAAACUUGCUUUCAUCACCCCUAGAUAAAAUAGUAUUAAUUAAGAGACAGUAGCUUGCAGGCUCAGGCAUUCUGAACCAAAAGCUUUUAAGAUUGCAACUUCAAUAACCCAGAAUUUGGGCCUGGUUCUCCAUGACUUUGUCUGCAGUGUUUGCUCUUCAGCAACAAAGCAGAUUUUGACACAUGGCCUGGCUUCCAUUUCACAUGCUCUUACUUCCAGACAGAAGCUUGAAUAAGAAGUACUCAGGGAACACCUCCACCACCACUACCCAAACAAAGCUGGAAACGGUGGCAGACUGCACCGACCACGUGGGGAUGGAAACACUGUACUAACCCUGCAGCAGUCUAGGCCCCAGCUGCGUUCCUGUAACUCAUGGCCAUCUCUGACAAACAGUAGCAUAACUUGGGAGGGGGGUGCAACCAGGGCACUGGCUCUAGGUGUUGCUUCAGGGGUCACCAAAAUGGCAACCCCUAGAGAACCUGUACUACUAUUGCAGACUGUACUGAGGGAGCUUAGACUGAGGUAACAGCAUCUGUGUCAGUGCUGCUGUAGCCUGCAUGAGGAGGUAAGCACCCCACCCUCCACAUGCCAUCCCACCAAAAUUAAGA
Molecule: long non-coding RNA, 658 nt
Filed under: Crocodylus porosus (Australian saltwater crocodile)
Lineage: Eukaryota; Metazoa; Chordata; Crocodylia; Crocodylidae
Description: lncRNA (ENSCPRG00005005125.1)
Source: RNAcentral